This 880-nucleotide ribosomal RNA is filed under the name uncultured bacterium. RNAcentral's name for it is "bacterial SSU rRNA". It matches the Rfam family "Bacterial small subunit ribosomal RNA", at positions 54 to 916 of the family's 1533-position model. The record is from RNAcentral.
CAUGCAAGUCGAACGUGAANNUNNCCUUCGGGCGGAGAGUAAAGUGGCGCACGGGUGAGUAACGCGUGGAUAAUCUACCCCGAGGCCCGGGAUAACUCGCCGAAAGGCGGGCUAAUACCGGAUAAUGUCCCACUACCAUAAGUAGUGUGACCAUAGGAGGCUUACGCUUCCGCCACAGGAUGAGUCCGCGUACCAUUAGCUAGUUGGUAGGGUAAUGGCCUACCAAGGCUACGAUGGUUAGCUGGUCUGAGAGGACGAUCAGCCACACUGGAACUGAGACACGGUCCAGACUCCUACGGGAGGCAGCAGUGGGGAAUAUUGCGCAAUGGGGGAAACCCUGACGCAGCGACGCCGCGUGAGCGAUGAAGGCCUUCGGGUCGUAAAGCUCUGUCAGGUGGGAAGAAACCUCCGUCAACUAAUAAUUGACGGAACUGACGGUACCACCAGAGGAAGCACCGGCUAACUCCGUGCCAGCAGCCGCGGUAACACGGAGGGUGCAAGCGUUGUUCGGAAUCACUGGGCGUAAAGGACGCGCAGGCGGCCCGGUAAGUCAGAAGUGAAAUCCGUCGGCUCAACCGACGAACGGCUUCUGAUACUGCCGGACUUGAGUACGGGAGAGGAAAGCGGAAUUCCCAGUGUAGAGGUGAAAUUCGUAGAUAUUGGGAAGAACACCGGUGGCGAAGGCGGCUUUCUGGACCGAUACUGACGCUGAGGCGUGAAAGCGUGGGGAGCAAACAGGAUUAGAUACCCUGGUAGUCCACGCUGUAAACGGUGAGUACUAGGUGUAGGGGGUACCGACCCCCCCUGUGCCGCAGCUAACGCAUUAAGUACUCCGCCUGGGAACUACGGCCGCAAGGCUAAAACUCAAAGGAAUUGACGG